Molecule: ribosomal RNA, 207 nt
Filed under: uncultured bacterium
Lineage: Bacteria
Description: partial 16S ribosomal RNA
Rfam family: Bacterial small subunit ribosomal RNA
Source: RNAcentral
CACGUAGGCGGCAUGACAAGUCAAAGGUGAAAGCCCUCGGCUCAACCGAGGAACUGCCUUUGAAACUGUUUUGCUUGAGUCCGGGAGGGGGGAGCGGAAUUCCCAGAGUAGCGGUGAAAUGCGUAGAUACUGGGAGGAACACCGGUGGCGAAGGCGGCUCCCUGGACCGGUACUGACGCUGAGGUGCGAAAGCGUGGGUAGCAAACA